This 26-nucleotide non-coding RNA is filed under the name Cricetulus griseus (Chinese hamster). The record is from RNAcentral. Lineage: Eukaryota; Metazoa; Chordata; Mammalia; Rodentia; Cricetidae.
AAAAGAAAGAAGGAAGGAAGGAAGGA